GACGGAAGGUGCAAGCGUUGCUCGGAAUCACUGGGCGUAAAGGGUGCGUAGGCGGCCGUGCAAGUCUGGCGUGAAAGCCCCGGGCUCAGCCCGGGAAGUGCGCUCGAAACUGCGCGGCUCGAGUGCCGGAGGGGAGAGUGGAAUUCCUGGUGUAGCGGUGAAAUGCGCAGAUAUCAGGAGGAACACCGAUGGCGAAGGCAGGUCUCUGGGCCACUACUGACGCUGAGAAGCGAAAGCAUGGGGAGCGAACAGG
This 253-nucleotide ribosomal RNA is filed under the name uncultured bacterium. Its description in RNAcentral is "partial 16S ribosomal RNA". It matches the Rfam family "Bacterial small subunit ribosomal RNA", at positions 524 to 776 of the family's 1533-position model. The record is from RNAcentral.